UAAUAAGUGUUUAUGGCACUUCUUAAAUCCAUAUCCACCUUGUGUGCAAUGUCAGCCGUUUUCUUUAUGAAAGCGGCCAAGCAUCAACUUAUUUUUUAACUGUCUGUCUGAAAACUAUUAUGAAUAAACAAUUCAAAUA
Molecule: unclassified non-coding RNA, 139 nt
Filed under: soil metagenome
Description: partial internal transcribed spacer 1
Source: RNAcentral